CCUACGGGGGGCUGCAGUGGGGAAUUUUGGACAAUGGGCGCAAGCCUGAUCCAGCCAUGCCGCGUGCAGGAUGAAGGCCUUCGGGUUGUAAACUGCUUUUGUACGGAACGAAAAGCCCCCUUUUAAUAAAGGGGGGUGAUGACGGUACCGUAAGAAUAAGCACCGGCUAACUACGUGCCAGCAGCCGCGGUAAUACGUAGGGUGCAAGCGUUAAGCGGAAUUACUGGGGGUGGUUAGGUAGCAGGGGGGUGAAAUCCCCGGGCUCAACCUGGGAACUGCCUUUGUGACUGCAUAGCUUGAGUGCGGCAGAGGGGGAUGGAAUUCCGCGUGUAGCAGUGAAAUGCGUAGAUAUGCGGAGGAACACCGAUGGCGAAGGCAAUCCCCUGGGCCUGCACUGACGCUCAUGCACGAAAGCGUGGGGAGCAAACAGGAUUAGAUACCCGAGUAGUC
RNAcentral lists this ribosomal RNA (450 nucleotides) under uncultured bacterium. RNAcentral describes it as "partial 16S ribosomal RNA". It matches the Rfam family "Bacterial small subunit ribosomal RNA", at positions 338 to 795 of the family's 1533-position model. The record is from RNAcentral.